Molecule: long non-coding RNA, 2182 nt
Organism: Lepidothrix coronata (blue-crowned manakin)
Lineage: Eukaryota; Metazoa; Chordata; Aves; Passeriformes; Pipridae
Exons: 3
Source: RefSeq, a predicted model, not a curated record
UCAGGAGCGAUUCCUGUCAGGAGCGAUUCAGUGCGCUGUGGGUGUGGUGCUGGCCUUGGGCGUGAGGGUCAAAGAAUCGCAGGAUGGGUCAGGAUGGAAGGGGCAUCUGGUCAGUGGAGUCAUCCGGUCCCACCUCCCUGCUCCAACAGGGUCAUCCCAGAGCACGUGGCACAGGAUCGCACCCAGACGGUUCUGGAAUAUCUCCAGUGACAGUUCUGGGAGACUCCACACCCUCUCUGGACAAUCUGUCCCAGUGCUUGGUCACUGCACAGCAUUGUCUUUGUGCUCGCUUCAUUGACUGCGCUGUAAUAACCAGUUUCUCAUUUCUUUAUGCACACAAAAAACACGUGCAGGUACGUGAGCCUACGGGAUGUUGAAGGUGACGCUCUCUGGAGCUCUCAGGUGACCUCAUUGAUAAAGCUGCCUAAUCAAAUUAAGUGCCCUGUGACUUCAGUGAGUUGCCGGUGGGCUGGGGAAGGACUCAUAAUGGAGCAGGAUCACAGCAGGAAGAACUCCUGCUGUGCCUUAUUCAAUUACUCACAGUCCGGGUGAAGGUCGCUACCCCCUGGGCAGAGGUGCCUGCUGGAAGCUGUCUCAUCACCUUUCUGCUGAUGCUGGGAGCUCACAUGCCACUUAAGUAUCCCUUGAUACCUUGGUGUGAUAAAACACUAACUACAUCCUGCUCCUCCUUCCCACCUCUGUGUACUCCUCACUUUUUGCCUGUGCCUCCCAAUAACCAAGUUGUUCAGUGAUAUACUUUUUAAGACAAAUAUUAGCAGUGCUGUCUUGCUGACCUCACAGCUGGAACCAGUCCCUCUCAGGCUGGUGCUUUUCAGAGACGCUCACUUAAAAAUUAAUUUUUCAAGAUAGCGUAAAUCAUCCGCUGUCCUCGUAUGACAAAUGCUGCAACACUCCACGGCUAAAUUGCCCUUUUUUACUUAUCAGCUGCUGCAUCCAUCAUUUCCAAUAAAAAUAAAGCCAGCAGUUAUCUCUGGCAAGAGCAUGUUGUGUCACCAGUCGUGCUGAGAAAAGGAAGUGGUGUCUGCUCAGGUCAGCAGGAAUGGCUUGUUGCAGGGUAGAAGAACUUAAAUGCUCAGAAAGCUGCUUGAGAAACUGACUCAUGAGUUUUAAAUAUCUCACCUUUUAUUGUGGACUUCUGAGGAUGUCAGUGGGGAUGCCUAGAUCUAAAAUGGCUCCAGAUACAAAUGAAAACUGGAUGAAAACCCAGCAGUAAGAGGCCUCCUGCCUUCAUUCCUCAAGGCAUGGAGAGAGAAGUGUUGGUGGCUGAGGUGGUGGAUCUAGGAGUGGGGCAGCGUCCUCUUCUGCUCCAGCAUCCAUCUGUGUAAAGAGACACUGAAAGGUGGAACUCUCUGAUCCUCUCCUGCUUGUCUCUUGGCACGUGCAGUCCACUUUGCUCACUCACUAAAAGCCUCAGGGGCUUUUUCUAUCUGCAGCAUCUGGUGUUCUUAAAUUGAUGAGGAAGGUGACUGGUUCCUGGGGAGGUCAUCUUGGGAAAGGUGAGUUUUAGUAUGAAAUCCUGACAUUUCUUAGUCCUCUUUUGAACACUGGCUGGAGCUCUGCACAUAUCUAGAAGGGAAACAUUCCUGCUCAUGUCUCAAAAAGGCUUCUGUGCCUGUCCAGUCCAUGUAAUUAAGCAGAAUUGGGAAUGACUGUGUCACCAUGGAACUUUACAUUGCUCAAAAAGGCUUUGGAGUACAGGCUCUGGAUCCAGCAAGGAAGGCAAAGGCAAAGAGUAACUGCAUUGCUGUCUUACAGCCAGGAGAAAAAGAAAAAACCAAAAAAAAAAGGUCUGAUGAGGAUAGGAGUUAGAAGUUGUGAAACAGAAGGAUUGGAAGCUAUUUGGGGAACAGGGAGAAUGAUCAGCAUCGUGAAUGGGGAAGGCACAGCACAGGCAGGGCCUCAGGCAAAAGGUAAUUUCUAUUCCCAGGGCUAAACCAGAAUUAAUGAAGAGCAAAGCCUCAGUAAAGCACUCAGACCUGCAGGGUCGGGGCUGAGCUCGAUGCACUCGUUUAUGCCUCCAAAUUACUGUUUGCUUUCUGUCCUUGCCUUGGCCUCAGUGCAAAGUAACACACAGUUCUGGGGGGGCUGGAGUUGCUUUCGAAGGUUUAUGCUUGCUGAUGGGCAGGAGCACACACCUUCUGCCUGUAGCUGCCUUAAUGUC